Molecule: ribosomal RNA, 483 nt
Filed under: Pontastacus leptodactylus (narrow-clawed crayfish)
Lineage: Eukaryota; Metazoa; Arthropoda; Malacostraca; Decapoda; Astacidae
Description: Astacus leptodactylus (narrow-clawed crayfish) partial large subunit ribosomal RNA
Rfam family: Bacterial large subunit ribosomal RNA
Source: RNAcentral
ACCUGCCCAUUGGAAUCUAAAAGGCCGCGGUAUUAUGACCGUGCUAAGGUAGCAUAAUCAUUAGUCUUUUAAUUGGAGGCUGGUAUGAAUGGUUGGACAAGAAAUAAGCUGUCUUAAAUAAAAAUAUUGAAUUUAACUUUUAAGUGAAAAGGCUUAAAUUUUCUAAGGGGACGAUAAGACCCUAUAAAACUUUAUAUUUUAAAAUAAUAAUUAAUUUUUAUAUAGAAGAUUUAUUUUUAAAUAUUUUAUUGGGGUGAUAAAGAUAAAAUGUGAGAUAACUGUCUUUUUUUUUUUACAAUUAAUAUUUGAGUAAAAGAUCUUAACAAAGGAAAUAAGAGAUUAAGUUACUUUAGGGAUAACAGCGUAAUUUUCUUUAAGAGUUCUUAUCGACAAGAAAGUUUGCGACCUCGAUGUUGAAUUAAAAGUUCUUUAUAGAGUAAAUAUUAUAAUAGAGGGUCUGUUCGACCCUUAAAAUUUUACGUG